GCUUCCCUCUUUCUUCGUGCCUAAUACAUGCAAGUCGAGCGAACAGACGAGGAGCUUGCUCCUCUGACGUUAGCGGCGGACGGGUGAGUAACACGUGGAUAACCUACCUAUAAGACUGGGAUAACUUCGGGAAACCGGAGCUAAUACCGGAUAACAUGUUGAACCGCAUGGUUCAACAGUGAAAGACGGUCUUGCUGUCACUUAUAGAUGGAUCCGCGCCGCAUUAGCUAGUUGGUAAGGUAACGGCUUACCAAGGCAACGAUGCGUAGCCGACCUGAGAGGGUGAUCGGCCACACUGGAACUGAGACACGGUCCAGACUCCUACGGGAGGCAGCAGUAGGGAAUCUUCCGCAAUGGGCGAAAGCCUGACGGAGCAACGCCGCGUGAGUGAAGAAGGUCUUCGGAUCGUAAAACUCUGUUAUUAGGGAAGAACAAAUGUGUAAGUAACUAUGCACGUCUUGACGGUACCUAAUCAGAAAGCCACGGCUAACUACGUG
This 497-nucleotide ribosomal RNA is filed under the name uncultured bacterium. Its description in RNAcentral is "partial 16S ribosomal RNA". It matches the Rfam family "Bacterial small subunit ribosomal RNA", at positions 36 to 507 of the family's 1533-position model. The record is from RNAcentral.